AACGCACAUUGCGCCCUUUGGUAUUCCGAAGGGCAUGCCUGUUCGAGCGUCAUUUAAACUCUCAAGCCCAGCUUGGUAUUGGGGAGGGCCGUCUGGCCGCCCUGCAACGCGUUGAGCGUGAGCGUCUGGCUUCAAGCGUAGCAAGUUCCUCGCUUCGUCGUCCGGCGUCCGUCGCCUUGCAAUUUCUUCCACAGUUUGACCUCGGAUCAGGUAGGGAUACCCGCUGAACUUAA
Molecule: unclassified non-coding RNA, 233 nt
Filed under: uncultured fungus
Lineage: Eukaryota; Fungi
Description: partial contains 5.8S ribosomal RNA, internal transcribed spacer 2, and large subunit ribosomal RNA
Rfam family: 5.8S ribosomal RNA (bases 1-52)
Source: RNAcentral